AAGUCGUAACAAGGUCUCCGUUGGUGAACCAGCGGAGGGAUCAUUACUGAGUUUAUCUAAACUCCCAACCCUUUGAGAACUUACCUUAGUUGCCUCGGCGGAAGCGUCGCCCUGGGAUGGCCUACCCUGUAGUGCCGUACCCUGGACGCCGCACCGUCAAAGGACCUUCUAAACUCUGUUUUAUUGUGGCACUUCUGAGGAUGAUUUUUAAUCAAUUAAAACUUUCAACAACGGAUCUCUUGGUUCUG
This 248-nucleotide unclassified non-coding RNA is filed under the name Eutypella sp. RNAcentral describes it as "partial internal transcribed spacer region". The stretch from base 1 to 46 matches the Rfam family "Eukaryotic small subunit ribosomal RNA", at positions 1786 to 1831 of the family's 1831-position model. The record is from RNAcentral. Lineage: Eukaryota; Fungi; Ascomycota; Sordariomycetes; Xylariales; Diatrypaceae.